Molecule: long non-coding RNA, 1689 nt
Filed under: Homo sapiens (human)
Lineage: Eukaryota; Metazoa; Chordata; Mammalia; Primates; Hominidae
Description: HSALNT0202306
Source: RNAcentral
AAUAGACCACAUACAUGAUGGUGGUCCCAUUUGAUUAUACUAUGGUACUUUUACUAUAUCUUUUCUAUGUUUAGAUAUGUUAAGAUACACAAAUACCACUGCAUUAUAAUUGCCUAUAGUAUUCAGUACAGUAACAUGCUAAACAGGUUAGUAGCCUAGGAGCAAUAAGCCACCUACCAUAUAGCUUAGGUGUGUAGUAGUCUCUUUCAUCUAGGUUUGUGUAAGUACACUUUAUGAUGCUCAUACAAUGACAAAAUCGCCUAAUGGUACAUUUCUUAUAUCUCAGGCAUAAAUCAAUACAUGACUUUGAAAAGAAGGCCAGAGUAGGUCUCUGAGGAAGGUGCUGUUGAGAAGAGACCGACAUGGGCAGAGGCGCCAGCAAUGCAAAGAUUUACAUUGACAACAUGCACAACAGGCUCAUGUAAAAGGAUUAUCUGAUGUGUCAUCAUGACUUAAUGAAGAACGCAAAUGCUUCUCGAUGAAAUUGAAGUAAAAAGAGGAAACAGAAGGGAAAAUGAGAGUCUAAAAAGAAACAAAGAGAAGUUAACUUUUAAGAGAUGACAAAUUCUACCUGCCACGAUGUUUUAUUUUAAUCUGAAAGAAAUUAUAAAGCUGAUACUUUCUGAAAAUAUAUCCUUUUACAGUAAAUAUUCUUGUGAAAUCUGCCAACCUACUUUUGUUUUAUUUCAAAAGCUUUUGUACCUCUCCAGACUAAACAAAAUACUUAAAAGAUGAUAUGGACAUUUAAAAAUAUUGUACUUAAAAAUAGAGAAGAAUAAAAAUCAAGAAUUCAUUCAAAAGAAUAGUGAAUUCAAAUAACUUUCAAAUGUUAUUCUAAUUUAUGAGUUGCUGCUACAUCGAUCUUCCUACUGAAAACAAAAAUAUCUGUUGCUGACAUCUACCAAAAAGUGAAUUUUUUCCCCAAAUUGAGCUGAGUCCACCUGUUUUGGUAAUGAGUUAGAGAAAUAUAUUCUGUUCUUUUUUAGAAGCUCCAUCAGAGUGGAAGACAUUUAUGAACUAUAUAAAUGUCUCAUUAGACUCCGUCUCAAAAAAAAAAAAGAAAUGUCUCAUUAAUUUUUAGUUAUUGGUUUCUCAUUCUAUGACCCAGAGUCAUGAAAAUUUCAGAAAACCACAGGUUAUUUGUUGAGUGUUCAAAUUGCAUAAUUAAAUAACUGUCAUUGUUGGGAAAGGAGAAUGAUAUGGAAGACAUAGCCCACACUUGGCUCUUGAAAAGUUUACCACUGAACUGAGCUAACAGAUAAAACUUCAUCAAUUUCUUAUCACUGAACCUGAGGGUUACACACAGCUGCACACAUCCUUGCUCUGUAACUCUUUCUGUGAGAGAGGACAUGUGUAACUUCCUAUCUAAGGUCAAUCCCUUUAUCCCUCUUCUGAGAGCUGCAAUGGAGAUCCAGAACACAGUGGAAGAAUAUAUUGAAAUAUGUGUAUCUAAGGUGUUCUAUAAAUUCUCAUUUCAAUGGGCUGUCCCUUAGAUAACCAACACUCAUAUGUUGUUUCAUUUCUCAAUGCAUCUUACUGUGUUCCAUAUUACUUUGAGUCUAAUGGAAUGUACCAGCUUAAAUGGAGACUGUAUCUCUGCCUUUAUUACUAGAUCUGGUUGAUAUUGUUGUUAUCUGGAGUUUGAGAACUCUCUUCCCUUAUCAGGUGAGCUGCAUAAAUAAAAUGGUA